GGGAAUAUGGCUUAGUGGUAGAGCACUUGUCUAGCAUGCAUGAAGCCCUGGGUUCAAUUCCUCAGUACCA
This 70-nucleotide transfer RNA is filed under the name Dipodomys ordii (Ord's kangaroo rat). It matches the Rfam family "tRNA". Rfam says of the family: Transfer RNA (tRNA) molecules are approximately 80 nucleotides in length. Their secondary structure includes four short double-helical elements and three loops (D, anti-codon, and T loops). Further hydrogen bonds mediate the characteristic L-shaped molecular structure. tRNAs have two regions of fundamental functional importance: the anti-codon, which is responsible for specific mRNA codon recognition, and the 3' end, to which the tRNAs corresponding amino acid is attached (by aminoacyl-tRNA synthetases). tRNAs cope with the degeneracy of the genetic code in two manners: having more than one tRNA (with a specific anti-codon) for a particular amino acid; and 'wobble' base-pairing, i.e. permitting non-standard base-pairing at the 3rd anti-codon position. Lineage: Eukaryota; Metazoa; Chordata; Mammalia; Rodentia; Heteromyidae. The record is from Rfam by way of RNAcentral.